RNAcentral lists this ribosomal RNA (253 nucleotides) under uncultured bacterium. RNAcentral describes it as "partial 16S ribosomal RNA". It matches the Rfam family "Bacterial small subunit ribosomal RNA", at positions 524 to 776 of the family's 1533-position model. The record is from RNAcentral.
UACGGGGGGGGCAAGCGUUGUUCGGAAUCACUGGGCGUAAAGGGCGCGUAGGCGGCUGGGGAAGUCGGCGGUGAAAGCCCGGAGCUCAACUCCGGGUCGGCCGUCGAGACUCCUCGGCUCGAGCUCACUAGAGGCAGAUGGAAUUCCGGGUGUAGCGGUGGAAUGCGUAGAGAUCCGGAAGAACACCGGUGGCGAAGGCGGUCUGCUGGGGUGAGGCUGACGCUGAGGCGCGACAGCGUGGGGAGCAAACAGG